Pelobates cultripes (western spadefoot toad) is the source of this 289-nucleotide non-coding RNA. NCBI's taxonomy places the organism in Eukaryota, Metazoa, Chordata, Amphibia, Anura, Pelobatidae. The record is from the annotation of a GenBank genome assembly.
CUCCGGGAAGACAUCUCCCAAGACCAUUAUUGUCCAGCUCUACACCUCUUAUGAUAGAAUCCCCAAACAACAACUGCUUUUUAUUAGGCCUCACCAUAGUCUCCAAGCCUGUCUCCAUAAUACCACUACACUUGGUGCCUGGGAAUGUCUCCACAACACCACUACACCCAGUGCCUGAGCCUGUCUCCACAACAGCACUACCCUCAUUGAAUGGCUCUUUGAAAUUAAAUAUGCAAGUCUUGCUGGCCUAUUGACAUAUCUGUCACUCCUUGCAUGGCAAUAUACUAAU